Molecule: ribosomal RNA, 468 nt
Filed under: uncultured bacterium
Lineage: Bacteria
Description: partial 16S ribosomal RNA
Rfam family: Bacterial small subunit ribosomal RNA
Source: RNAcentral
GACGAACGCUGGCGGCGUGCUUAACACAUGCCAGUCGAACGGAAAGGCCCUGCUUUUGUGGGGUGCUCGAGUGGCGAACGGGUGAGUAACACGUGAGUAACCUGCCCUUGACUUUGGGAUAACUUCAGGAAACUGGGGCUAAUACCGGAUAGGAGCUCCUGCUGCAUGGUGGGGGUUGGAAAGUUUCGGCGGUUGGGGAUGGACUCGCGGCUUAUCAGCUUGUUGGUGGGGUAGUGGCUUACCAAGGCUUUGACGGGUAGCCGGCCUGAGAGGGUGACCGGCCACAGUGGGACUGAGAUACGGCCCAGACUCAUACGGGAGGCAGCAGUGGGGAAUAUUGCACAAUGGGCGGAAGCCUGAUGCAGCAACGCCGCGUGCGGGAUGACGGCCUUCGGGUUGUAAACCGCUUUCGCCUGUGACGAAGCGUGAGUGACGGUAAUGGGUAAAGAAGCACCGGCUAACUACGUG